GCGCCUUUAGCUCAGCUGGUAGAGCGUCGGUUUCCAAAAUCAAAUGUCGAGGGUUCGACUCCUUCAAGGCGCG
Molecule: transfer RNA, 73 nt
Filed under: Spumella sp. Baekdong012001B8
Lineage: Eukaryota; Chrysophyceae; Chromulinales; Chromulinaceae
Description: tRNA-Trp
Rfam family: tRNA
About the family: Transfer RNA (tRNA) molecules are approximately 80 nucleotides in length. Their secondary structure includes four short double-helical elements and three loops (D, anti-codon, and T loops). Further hydrogen bonds mediate the characteristic L-shaped molecular structure. tRNAs have two regions of fundamental functional importance: the anti-codon, which is responsible for specific mRNA codon recognition, and the 3' end, to which the tRNAs corresponding amino acid is attached (by aminoacyl-tRNA synthetases). tRNAs cope with the degeneracy of the genetic code in two manners: having more than one tRNA (with a specific anti-codon) for a particular amino acid; and 'wobble' base-pairing, i.e. permitting non-standard base-pairing at the 3rd anti-codon position.
Source: RNAcentral